Molecule: ribosomal RNA, 502 nt
Filed under: uncultured bacterium
Lineage: Bacteria
Description: partial 16S ribosomal RNA
Rfam family: Bacterial small subunit ribosomal RNA
Source: RNAcentral
GAUGAACGCUAGCGGCAGGCCUAACACAUGCAUGUCGAGGGGCAGCACAGAAACAGCAAUGUUUUGGUGGCGACCGGCGGACGGGUGCGUAACGCGUAUGCAACCUACCUUUAACAGGGGGAUAACGGAGAGAAAUUUCCACUAAUACCCCAUAACAUCGAUCAAGGCAUCUUGAUUGGUUGAAAACUCCGGUGGUUAAAGAUGGGCAUGCGUUGUAUUAGGUAGUUGGUGAGGUAAUGGCUCACCAAGCCUACGAUACAGAGGGGGACUGAGAGGUUGGCCCCCCACACUGGUACGGAGAAACGGACCAGACUCCGACGGGAGGCAGCAGUGAGGAAUAUUGGUCAAUGGGGGCAACCCUGAACCAGCCAUGCCGCGUGCAGGAAGACGGCUCUAUGAGUUGUAAACUGCUUUUAAACAGGGAUAAAGCACAGUAUGUAUACUGUGUUGAAGGUACUGUAAGAAUAAGGAUCGGCUAACUCCGUGCCAGCAGCCGCGGUAA